RNAcentral lists this ribosomal RNA (424 nucleotides) under Verrucomicrobiota bacterium. RNAcentral describes it as "Verrucomicrobia bacterium partial 16S ribosomal RNA". It matches the Rfam family "Bacterial small subunit ribosomal RNA", at positions 355 to 776 of the family's 1533-position model. The record is from RNAcentral. Lineage: Bacteria; Pseudomonadati; Verrucomicrobiota.
UGAGGAAUAUUGGUCAAUGGACGGAAGUCUGAACCAGCCAAGUAGCGUGCAGGAUGACGGCCCUAUGGGUUGUAAACUGCUUUUGUAUGGGGAUAAAGUUAGGGACGUGUCCCUAUUUGCAGGUACAAUACGAAUAAGGACUGGCUAAUUCCGUGCCAGCAGCCGCGGUAAUACGGAAGGUCCAGGCGUUAUCCGGAUUUAUUGGGUUUAAAGGGAGCGUAGGCUGGAGAUUAAGUGUGUUGUGAAAUGUAGACGCUCAACGUCUGAAUUGCAGCGCAUACUGGUUUCCUUGAGUACGCACAACGUUGGCGGAAUUCGUCGUGUAGCGGUGAAAUGCUUAGAUAUGACGAAGAACUCCGAUUGCGAAGGCAGCUGACGGGAGCGCAACUGACGCUUAAGCUCGAAGGUGCGGGUAUCAAACAGG